AAAAGCUUCUAAGCGUUGAAGCGUUUGUGACCGUACUAAAACUGACACAGGUAGGCGAGACGAGUAGUCUAAGGCGCUCGGGAUAACGGUGGUUAAGGAACUCUGCAAAAUGACCCCGUACGUUCGCAAUAAGGGGUGCCCCUGAUGGUUAACGCUGUUGGGGGCCACAGAUAAUCGGCUUUUGCGACUGUUUAUCAAAAACACAGGACUCUGCUAACUCGCAAGAGGAUGUAUAGAGUCUGACGCCUGCCCGGUGCCGGUAGGUUAAGGAAGGCGGUUAUCCACUUCGGUGGAGAAGCUGGCGACCGAAGCCCCGGUAAACGGCGGCCGUAACUAUGACGGUCCUAAGGUAGCGAAGUUCCUUGUCGGGUAAGUUCCGACCUGCAUGAAUGGCGUAACGACAGGAGCACUGUCUCAACCACCGACCCGGUGAAAUUGUAGUCGUGGUGAAGAUGCCACGUGCCCGCGGUUAGACGGAAAGACCCCGUGAACCUUUACUGUAGGCUGAUAUUGGGCUGAGGUAUGUCUUGUGUAGGAUAGGUGGGAGACUGUGAGACGGGAGCGCUAGCUCUCGUGGAGUCAUCCUUGAAAUACCACCCUGGAUAUGCUUUAGUUCUAACGUUGAUCCCGUGAAUCCGGGCAACGGACAUUGUCAGUUGGGCAGUUUGACUGGGGCGGUCUCCUCCAAAAAAGUAACGGAGGAGUACAAAGGUACCCUCAGCCUGGUUGGCAAUCAGGCGUAGAGCGUAAAGGUAGAAGGGUGCUUAACUGCGAGACUCAUCAGUCGAGCAGAUACGAAAGUAGGUCUUAGUGAUCCUGUGGUUCCGUAUGGAAGGGCCAUAGCUCAUCAGAUAAAAGGUACUCCGGGGAUAACAGGCUUAUCGCCACCGAGCGUCCACAGCGGCGUGGCGGUUUGGCACCUCGAUGUCGGCUCAUCACAUCCUGGGGGUGAAGAAGCUCCCAAGGGUUUGGCUGUUCGCCAAUGAAAGUGGUACGUGAGCUGGGUUCAGACCGUCGUGAGACAGGUCGGUCCCUAUCUGCCGUGGGCGUGCGAAACUUGAGGAGGUUCUUCUUUAGUACGAGAGGAUUUAGAAGGACGUAGCUCUGGUGUACCAGUUGUCGCGCUAGCGGCACGGCUGGAUAGCUAUCUACGGAAAGGAUAAACGCUGAAAGCAUCUAAGCGUGAAGCCCUCUCCAAGAUUAGGUUCCGUAAUCCGCAUUGCGGAGAAAGUCCCCUGGAAGACUACCAGGUUGAUAGGCCAGAUGUGUAAGCACAGUAAUGUGUUCAGCUAACUGGUACUAAUGGACGAAAGCUUGGCCAC
Molecule: ribosomal RNA, 1322 nt
Filed under: metagenome
Description: bacterial LSU rRNA
Rfam family: Bacterial large subunit ribosomal RNA
Source: RNAcentral